RNAcentral lists this ribosomal RNA (253 nucleotides) under uncultured bacterium. RNAcentral describes it as "partial 16S ribosomal RNA". It matches the Rfam family "Bacterial small subunit ribosomal RNA", at positions 524 to 776 of the family's 1533-position model. The record is from RNAcentral.
UACGUAGGGGCAAGCGUUGUUCGGAAUUACUGGGCGUAAAGGGCUCGUAGGCGGCCAACUAAGUCAGACGUGAAAUCCCUCGGCUUAACCGGGGAACUGCGUCUGAUACCGGAUGGCUUGAGUUUGGGAGAGGGAUGCGGAAUUCCAGGUGUAGCGGUGAAAUGCGUAGAUAUCUGGAGGAACACCGGUGGCGAAGGCGGCAUCCUGGACCAACACUGACGCUGAGUGAGCGAAAGCCAGGGGAGCAAACGGG